AGACCCAAGACCCGGAACCGGAAACAGACGCGUCUUCUUCUUCUUCGUGAGAAUGUCAGUGUCGCUGUUUCGUUCGGAUGUUCGUUGUUUCCACCCAGCUGCGCCCGCCGGAACGACCCCGAGUGUGUCGCAAGCUGAAACGUGAGCCUCUUCCACAACCACAAGCGUCUUUGUGUAAAGAAUCACAGCUUUGGAUCCAGUUUACUCGGUGACCUCUCCAUUGCCUUUGCAGAAUCAAAACACUCCUGAGGUGAUGUCUAACUGAUCCCUAGCAAAACUGAGGGGGAAAAAACAGCUUCCUAAAGGGGCAGUAAAUCAUGUUGGAUGAAACAAUCUCAGGGGACUCCGCUGUCUUUACUUCACACAUGACUUCAGUGUACGUAUCAGUGUGAGUGCACGUGCAUGUUCUGAAUCCCAAUUAGUCUAGUAUGGGUUAAUCGUUUGACUCUCCCUUUUUUCUCAUUCGUAGCCCUCACUCGUUUGCCAACUCUUCCUCCUUUUGGCACCUUUACAUUUCCCCCACCAUCAGUUUAUUCUGUCUGGUGAUUCCCUUUCACUCACUGCAUUUAAUAAUUGAGCAGUCGUGUGAGAUGGCGUCUUUGCGAGCAGGCUCCCAAGAACACAUUCAGGCCAAAGAAACUGAUGAGGAUGUUGUAUGCCUGUAGCUCGGGUGUGCCCCAAAUAUCACACACACAAUGUCAUGGCAUACAUGUGCGUCCUUGAAAAUGUAGUCCUGGUAUCUCUGUCUUUUACCGUGUCCCCUGUUGGUCACAUCACGGUGACGGGGACCACAGAUGGUGGGCAGCGCAGCGUCUUCAACCCCACACACACACUAAGGCCCGUCGUCGCUGUGAGCUCCAGCAAGGGAGAGAUGACUUCAAACCAGCUCUGAUUUCCAUUGCUGGGCUGCCCACUGUGCAAUUUUAAUGAGCAUCGAGGCUGUUUUGGGACUGGUCGGCACUAAAACCCCCUGAGGACUUUGGGUGAGUAAGAGCGUGUGUGCGUGUCUGUAUGUGUGUAGUUGUAAAGUCACAGUGUGGCUUCACCUCGCGUGAGUUGUACUGGAGUGCACUGGGGGAUCUAUGGGGGAGGGGAUUUUAGAAUAAGUGAAUAAGAGCGUCAUUGUUUCAUUCACUUCAUUACGCACACAGCACAUAUACAGCAGGUUACCAGACAUACACCCCUUUAAUCAUUGACUUGUUGAAACCAAUAACGGGAUGUGGACACACAAUUAAAACCUACACAACAAGGGAUAAGAGGGGCACUAAGUUCAUUAUGUGCAAUCCCACUGAUGCACGGACACACAUGCUCAUUUAAUCCAGCACAUGCCUGUUGGAUACUCAGUGAAAACAAGCGAGUGUUGUACUGAUGCAUUUACAACAAAGGUUGUUUUGUAAUAGUGAGGAAAUUAAACUUAAAAAACCCCAAAAACAUAGAGGGCAAAGAGAGAAACACAUAAACAAGACAUGGGUGGAGCUGAUUUAAAUAAUUUUUAACAAAAUAAGUGCGGAAAUCAACAUAUGUCCUUCAUGCUUCACAAAACUGAGGUGAAGUCUCCUCCCUGUGCCCUCCACACAUCCUCUUCCCGUCCUUUUCCUUUUGCCCCUCGUUUCCAUCCUCCAGAGGAGAAAGAGAGAGGGGGGGUUUAGCUUCUCUCCU
This is a long non-coding RNA of Scophthalmus maximus (turbot), 1659 nucleotides long. RefSeq lists it as uncharacterized. The transcript has 4 exons. The record is from RefSeq and is a predicted model, not a curated record. Lineage: Eukaryota; Metazoa; Chordata; Actinopteri; Pleuronectiformes; Scophthalmidae.